AGAUUGAACGCUGGCGGCAGGCCUAACACAUGCAAGUCGAGCGGCAGCACGGGUACUUGUACCUGGUGGCGAGCGGCGGACGGGUGAGUAAUGCCUAGGAAUCUGCCUGAUAGUGGGGGAUAACGCUCGGAAACGGACGCUAAUACCGCAUACGUCCUACGGGAGAAAGCGAGGGGACCUUCGGGCCUUGCGCUAUCAGAUGAGCCUAGGUCGAUUAGCUAGUUGGUGGGUAAUGGCUCACAAGGCGCGAUCCGUAACUGGUCUGAGAGGAUGAUCAGUCACACGUGGAACUGAGACACGGGCCCAGACCUCCGUACGGGAGGCACGCGUAGUAGGGGUAA
Molecule: ribosomal RNA, 341 nt
Filed under: uncultured soil bacterium
Lineage: Bacteria
Description: bacterial SSU rRNA
Rfam family: Bacterial small subunit ribosomal RNA
Source: RNAcentral